CGAUGAACGCCUGCUUCGGUGAGUGGGAUUAGUGGCGAACGGGUGAGUAACACGUGGGCAAUCUGCCCUGCACUCUGGGACAAGCCCUGGAAACGGGGUCUAAUACCGGAUAUGACGCGUGACCGCAUGGUCUGCGCGUGGAAAGCUCCGGCGGUGCAGGAUGAGCCCGCGGCCUAUCAGCUUGUUGGUGGGGUAAUGGCCUACCAAGGCGACGACGGGUAGCCGGCCUGAGAGGGCGACCGGCCACACUGGGACUGAGACACGGCCCAGACUCCUACGGGAGGCAGCAGUGGGGAAUAUUGCACAAUGGGCGAAAGCCUGAUGCAGCGACGCCGCGUGAGGGAUGACGGCCUUCGGGUUGUAAACCUCUUUCAGCAGGGAAGAAGCGAAAGUGACGGUACCUGCAGAAGAAGCGCCGGCUAACUACGUGCCAGCAGCCGCGGUAAUACGUAGGGCGCGAGCGUUGUCCGGAAUUAUUGGGCGUAAAGAGCUCGUAGGCGGCUUGUCACGUCGGAUGUGAAAGCCCGGGGCUUAACCCCGGGUCUGCAUUCGAUACGGGCAGGCUAGAGUUCGGUAGGGGAGAUCGGAAUUCCUGGUGUAGCGGUGAAAUGCGCAGAUAUCAGGAGGAACACCGGUGGCGAAGGCGGAUCUCUGGGCCGAUACUGACGCUGAGGAGCGAAAGCGUGGGGAGCGAACAGGAUUAGAUACCCUGGUAGUCCACGCCGUAAACGUUGGGAACUAGGUGUGGGCGACAUUCCACGUUGUCCGUGCCGCAGCUAACGCAUUAAGUUCCCCGCCUGGGGAGUAC
Molecule: ribosomal RNA, 808 nt
Filed under: Streptomyces sp.
Lineage: Bacteria; Bacillati; Actinomycetota; Actinomycetes; Kitasatosporales; Streptomycetaceae
Description: bacterial SSU rRNA
Rfam family: Bacterial small subunit ribosomal RNA
Source: RNAcentral